This 691-nucleotide long non-coding RNA is filed under the name Homo sapiens (human). RNAcentral describes it as "HSALNT0326359". Lineage: Eukaryota; Metazoa; Chordata; Mammalia; Primates; Hominidae. The record is from RNAcentral.
CGCAGAAGAAUUCUCUUUAUGUUACCUUUAUUUAGCAACAAAUCAACUUGACUCAACUGAUACUUACUGAGUGCCUUUAAAGGCCAUAGACUCUCCAACUCCUGCAACUGUCUGGAAUUUCUUCUCUCUCCAAUCCAUCUCUAGUAUUGAUGACAUAGAUACUGAGUUUACUACAAAUGGAAGGUUUGAGGCAACCUUGAUGGAGCAAGUGUAUGGGUGCCAUGUUUUUCCAACAUCAUGUGCUCACUUUGUGUCUCUGACAUAUUUUGUCUGGAACGGAACUAGCAAUAUCUCCAUGGAAUACCUGUAAUGAGCAGAUUUAACCUAAGAUGAGAAAAUAUUUCCACUGAAGUUUGAAAUUUAAGUACGUGUUAGCCAGGUAAAGUAGGGGGAAAAGUAUUUCAAGCAGAGGUUAAAGUCCCUGUGUUAAGGCUGUGAGGCCCAAGGGAAGGAGCUUUCCCUUUAAAAAGGACUGAAAGAAAGCAAAUGUGGUUUAAGCAUGGUUAGGGAGGAAAGAGGCCUGAAGGGGAGGGAAUCCUGGAGUGGGAUACAGAGGUAGGCAGGCAGAGUACAGAACAUUAGGGAUUUAUGGACUCAAGAUUUAUAUUCUCUGACACCAAAUUAGGAAAAAAAGAGGUCUCUAUUUUUGGCCAAGUUGUGUGUGUGUGUGUGUGUGUGUGUGUGUGUGUGU